GCCUUUCCAUGCUGCCUUCCCUUUAUUAAAGUGUUCUGAUGCUGCAAAUUACAAAAACACUUAUGGCUUAUGAAAUUCUCAUUACCCCAAACCCCUUUGCCCUUAAUUGUUAGUGUGGUAAUGCGUGAUGGCAAGAAACAGACUCUGACAUUUUGAAGAGGCAUAGUACUAAUGCUAUGGCUUGUGGCAGCUCUUUUAUUAAAAGUCUCACUGUUCCUUUCCAGUGACUCCCUAAUUAGCUCAGGCUCUGGCCCAGAGGACUGUACGUGGCUGUAUUUAACUGCCUGGAAAGUGGCUCUGAAAAGAUGCUGGCUCAGCGGUGCUGCUGUUUACCUGAUUCUUUGGUAUGAACUCUCCUGAGCCCAAGAGUCAUUUGGCAACAACUUGGGUCAGAAGUCCUCCCUUCCCAGUCCACCACCUCACCCAGCCACUGGGGGGCUGAGUUUGUCCAGAUCAGGUAAGACCUGAGCUAGUACCUGGUGUAGCCCCUGGUCUCCCCCAACCGCCCUCCCUCUGUGAUUUCAUGUAUUUAUCCUUUGGUUCUAUUUAU
RNAcentral lists this long non-coding RNA (550 nucleotides) under Capra hircus (goat). Its description in RNAcentral is "lncRNA (ENSCHIG00000000655.1)". The record is from RNAcentral. Lineage: Eukaryota; Metazoa; Chordata; Mammalia; Artiodactyla; Bovidae.